This 427-nucleotide ribosomal RNA is filed under the name uncultured bacterium. Its description in RNAcentral is "partial 16S ribosomal RNA". It matches the Rfam family "Bacterial small subunit ribosomal RNA", at positions 354 to 796 of the family's 1533-position model. The record is from RNAcentral.
GUGGGGAAUAUUGGGCAAUGGAGGAAACUCUGACCCAGCAACGCCGAGUGGAGGAAGAAGGUUUUCGGAUCGUAAACUCCUGUCCUUGGAGACGAGUAGAAGACGGUAUCCAAGGAGGAAGCCCCGGCUAACUACGUGCCAGCAGCCGCGGUAAUACGUAGGGGGCAAGCGUUGUCCGGAAUAAUUGGGCGUAAAGGGCGCGUAGGCGGCUCGGUAAGUCUGGAGUGAAAGUCCUGCUUUUAAGGUGGGAAUUGCUUUGGAUACUGUCGGGCUUGAGUGCAGGAGAGGUUAGUGGAAUUCCCAGUGUAGCGGUGAAAUGCGUAGAGAUUGGGAGGAACACCAGUGGCGAAGGCGACUAACUGGACUGUAACUGACGCUGAGGCGCGAAAGUGUGGGGAGCAAACAGGAUUAGAAACCCCGGUAGUCC